Molecule: long non-coding RNA, 1325 nt
Organism: Lampris incognitus (smalleye Pacific opah)
Lineage: Eukaryota; Metazoa; Chordata; Actinopteri; Lampriformes; Lampridae
Exons: 3
Source: RefSeq, a predicted model, not a curated record
AUUUGACACGUGUUCAGUAGUUAGGUUGAGCCGAUCAGCGCUGACAGACUGCUUCCCUCCCACAGCUUCAUGGUAAAGGAUAUUUCACUGUGGACGUCAAGCUCUUUGGCCAAGGCACCAGACUGUAUGUAACAGAGGAGGAACCCAGGACGCCCCGUGUGGGUGUCUACCAGGCAUCCACAGCUGAUGGGAAAGGGAAGUCCACGCUGGUGUGUCUGGUCACAGACAUGCAUCCAGACCUGGUCAGGAUCUCUUGGAAGGCUGAGAGAGAGAGAGGCCAAUCAAACACAGUGGAACAGAGAGACCACAAAAGUACCACCAGUAUGAUCCAGAUUAAUGAGGAAGAGCUAUCACAGAUGGACUACACCUGUUCUGUUCAGCACCAAACUGGUAUCAAGACUGUGGUCAUCAAAUCAAGAGUCUCCUUCCAGUCUGUGUGCAGAGUCAAGCUGGCCUCUGUGGUUUACAGCCUGAUGAUAGUGAAGAGCAUAGUGUACUGCUGUGGACUCUCUCUCCUGCUCAUCCACACCAACAAGAGGGGCUGUUGACUGGCUGUUGACUGGCUGUUGUUUGGAGCAGCCGUGACUUCAAACAGGUUGUGGGUCAGAUGAAGUUUUCUGCUGUUAGCUUUCUGUCAUUAAACAGACGGGGGGAUGUUAGUCCAUCUAUGUGGUGAGUUAUUAUCAUCUGUCAGACGACAGGGCUGGGUUUGCUUUCUUCAGAAUUUUCCACUGUUUAUUAUUUAGUUGUUUUAAUUCUAAUAAAAAGAUUAACAUGUAAAAUUAAUAAGUUAACCUGCUCACUAAUUUGAACCGAGCUACAUCUAAAUACAGCAACGAUCAGAUAUGAUUUCUCUUUCGGUUGAAUUAUCAAUUCAAAAUAGUUCUCAAAGUAAACACAUUUAAUUUAUAUUUUGACUGUGAUAAAAAGUGGAAUGGUUUUGACACAAGUGUAAAGGACAAAGUUGGACAAAAUCCAUCCGUUAAUUACAAAACCUGUGUAAAUAUUCGGGAAUGUAUAUAACAUUUAGUACAUUUCUAAAUGAGCUGUUGUGAGGUUUUGAUGAGUUGAAUGUAAUGCUUUAUAACGAGUAGCCGUAAACAGUGAUUAAUAAAUGAGUAAUAAGACACUUAUAAGCUCUUACAACACACUUGGUAACACUAGCAGACAGGUUGGAAAUAUUAAAAACCGUCUCAUUAACGCGUCUUGUAACGCUGUAUCUGGUGUCUCCUGCACUGUUCCUCUGAACUGUUCCUCUGAAUGUCACCUGUUCCUCUGAGCACUGUUCCUCUGAACACUGUUCCUCUGAACACUGUUCCUCUCAA